UGCCAGCAGCCGCGGUAACACGUAGGCACCAAGCGUUGUCCGGAUUUAUUGGGCGUAAAGCGCGUGUAGGCGGUUCGUUAAGUCUGAUGUGAAAGCCCGGGGCUCAACCCCGGAAGUGCAUUGGAAACUGGCGAACUUGAGUACGGGAGAGGAAAGUGGAAUUCCGAGUGUAGGGGUGAAAUCCGUAGAUAUUCGGAGGAACACCAGUGGCGAAGGCGGCUUUCUGGACCGAUACUGACGCUGAGACGCGAAAGCGUGGGGAGCAAACAGGAUUAGAUA
Molecule: ribosomal RNA, 279 nt
Filed under: uncultured bacterium
Lineage: Bacteria
Description: partial 16S ribosomal RNA
Rfam family: Bacterial small subunit ribosomal RNA
Source: RNAcentral